RNAcentral lists this long non-coding RNA (1662 nucleotides) under Homo sapiens (human). RNAcentral describes it as "HSALNT0351214". The record is from RNAcentral. Lineage: Eukaryota; Metazoa; Chordata; Mammalia; Primates; Hominidae.
AGUCCGAUUUCAAGCCCAACCCGAUGGGAUUCAGAAAAGCCCGCCCAGCGUCCCCAGGCCCAGCAGUCCACGCCACACCGUCGGCGACGGAUUUCGUUUCUAUUCCCCGCACGCGCCCCAGCAACGCAGAAGGAGAUCCAGUUUCGCCACAACGUUCCCGUUGGCUUGCUGGUUUGAAAGUUGAAGCCCCGGGGUAGUAAAUUUGGCUACAAAAUCUCAAAUCUCGUUAAUCCUAGACAAAAUAAAAACAUAAUAGGCCACAAAUUAACUAGCUUGGGGCGGUUUCUGUGAUGGUCACCUGGCGGUGCGCAAGGAGUUAUAGAACCUUGAGGGGGGGAUCUUUUCUAUCUCUAAUUACCUGUAUGUGUAAAGAACUCAAGAAGACGUCAGAACAGGGUCUCCUAUCAACUGCUACCUAUUGCUGUCUCGCAAACAUCCCCCUAAACCCGCUGCAUCGACAGCUUCGGGUGAGGGUGGGGUAAGAGGCACUUACUGUGAGGCCGAGCUCCCGCACGAAUUAGCCUCACAACAGGACCUAGGUCUCCUAGGGAGACGAAACUAGGCCAGCGAAAUCGCGGCCAGGGAGCCCCUGGCCCCCACUCGGGAGACAACCCGCCCGGCGCGAAGGGUGCGUCUCCUGAGCUCCACGCCGGGAGCUGGAAGGCAGGCAGACGCGCGAGGCUUGGGAAGGGUGGGAUCUUAAAAAAAAAAAAAAAAUCUUAAAAAAGAGAAAUAAAUUUGAACAAAACUAAACUACAAGCCCGCAGUUCCCCGCCGAAAGCGAGGUGGGGGAGGAGGGGGCGGGAACGGUCGAGGCACUGAGAGUGGGGGAUGAGAAACGAACUCCGUCCCCUGCACAGUCAGUGCCUUCGGGGGCUCCACCACCGCGCGCUCCCACCCUCAAGGUCUGCAGGACACACCAAAGAACUCCUCCAAGUCACACAAGGGAGAAAAUUAACUUCAUUGGCUUCUAUCAGGAAAGCUAUUUUUUUUUUCCUCUUCUUUCCUGCAAGUUUCCCAAACCCCAUGACUCUGAUUUCCAGGUCAGAGACUAAGGUUUUAUUUUUCUUACUCUGUAUACUUUAUAUGUGGAGAGUCCCUGAAGGAACACUGUGAUGGGCUGAUUACUGUGAGCCAGUUGUGGGCCAGACCUGGCCUCAGGUGCUGCAAAGGGAAUUCAGUCACCCCUGUGCAGUGAUCUGUGAGCCCCAAGUCAGAUCCAACUUUUUCCUGAUAGACAGCACCCUCCUCCUCCCUACCAAGAAAUAGCAGGGUUGGAGGUAGUGACCCAAUAUUCAAGAGGUUUGAAAUUCUACAUGAGAUAUUUCUGAGUUAACUCCUAAAUAGCAGUUUCCUUAAUCAUGUGGAAAAUAAGAACACUUACUAAAGAGACCAUUGGUUUAAGAGAAAUGGAAACUUAUGUCCACGUAAAAACCUGUAAAUGAAUGUUCACAGCAGCCUUUUCAUAAUAGCCAAAAAGGGAAAGCAAUCCACACGUCCAUCAACCAAUGAAUGGAUAAACUUAACGUGGGAUAUACGUGUAAUGGAAUGCUAUUUGGUGAAGAAAGAAAUGAAAUAUUAAUACAUGCGUUAACAAGGAUGGACCUUAAAAUAUCAUGCUAAGUAAGAGAAGCCUGUCACAAAAGAAUAUGUAUUGUACCA